AACGAACGCUGGCGGCAGGCCUAACACAUGCAAGUCGAACGCCCCGCAAGGGGAGUGGCAGACGGGUGAGUAACACGUGGGAACCUUCCCAACAGUACGGAAUAGCCCAGGGAAACUUGGAGUAAUACCAUAUAUUCCCGAGAGGGGAAAGAUUUAUCGCUGUUGGAUGGGCCCGCGUCGGAUUAGCUAGUUGGUGAGGUAACGGCUCACCAAGGCGACGAUCCGUAGCUGGUUUGAGAGAAUGACCAGCCACACUGGGACUGAGACACGGCCCAGACUCCUACGGGAGGCAGCAGUGGGGGAUCUUGGACAAUGGGCGCAAGCCUGAUCCAGCCAUGCCGCGUGAGUGACGAAGGCCUUAGGGUUGUAAAGCUCUUUUGCCGGGGACGAUAAUGACGGUACCCGGAGAAUAAGUCCCGGCUAACUUCGUGCCAGCCGCCGCCGUAA
Molecule: ribosomal RNA, 447 nt
Filed under: uncultured bacterium
Lineage: Bacteria
Description: partial 16S ribosomal RNA
Rfam family: Bacterial small subunit ribosomal RNA
Source: RNAcentral